This 486-nucleotide ribosomal RNA is filed under the name uncultured bacterium. Its description in RNAcentral is "partial 16S ribosomal RNA". It matches the Rfam family "Bacterial small subunit ribosomal RNA", at positions 899 to 1397 of the family's 1533-position model. The record is from RNAcentral.
ACUCAAAUGAAUUGACGGGGGCCCGCACAAGCAGCGGAGCGUGCGGUUCAAUUCGAUGCAACACGAAGAACCUUACCAGGGCUUGACAUGGCGGUGGUAGGGACGCGAAAGCGAACCGACCCGCAAGGGAGCCGUCACAGGUGAUGCAUGGCUGUCGUCAGCUCGUGCCGUGAGGUGUUGGGUUAAGUCCCGCAACGAGCGCAACCCUUGUCGUUAGUUAUACGUGUCUAGCGAGACUGCCGGAUUAUUGCCGGAGGAAGGUGGGGACGACGUCAAGUCAGCAUGUCCUUUAUGUCCUGGGCGACACGCACGCUACAAUGGGCGUGACAAUCCGUAGCCAAGCCGCGAGGCGGAGCUAAUCGUAAAAAAGCGCCCUCAGUUCAGAUUGCAGGCUGCAACCCGCCUGCAUGAAGUCGGAGUUGCUAGUAAACGCGCGUCAGCCAUAGUGCGUUGAAUACGUUCCCGGGCCUUGUACACACCGCCCGU